RNAcentral lists this non-coding RNA (25 nucleotides) under Cricetulus griseus (Chinese hamster). The record is from RNAcentral. Lineage: Eukaryota; Metazoa; Chordata; Mammalia; Rodentia; Cricetidae.
UAUUGUGAAAUUUUGUAAAGGCAGG